GUAGAUAUUGGGAGGAACACCAGUUGCGUAGGCGGCUUACUGGCUCAUAACUGACGCUGAGGCGCGAAAGCGUGGGGAGCGAACAGGAUUAGAUACCCUGGUAGUCCACGCCGUAAACGAUGUGCACUCGCUGUUGGAUAGUAUUCUAUUCAGUGGCUGAGCAAACGCAUUAAGUGCACCGCCUGGGGAGUACGGCCGCAAGGUUAAAACUCAAAGGAAUUGACGGGGACCCGCACAAGUGGUGGAGCAUGUUGCUUAAUUCGAUAAUACGCGAGAAACCUCACCCGCUCUUGACAUGUAAGUUUUACUUCCUGGAAACAGGUUGUUUCAGUUCGGCUGGGCUUACACAGGUGUUGCAUGGCUGUCGUCAGCUCGUGUCGUGAGAUGUUCGGUUAAGUCCGGCAACGAGCGCAACCCCUUUUACCAGUUGCCAGCAUUUAGUUGGGGACUCUGGUGAUACUGCCGGUGAUAAGCCGGAGGAAGGUAGGGACGACGUCAAGUCAUCAUGGCCCUUACGAGCGGGGCUGCAGACGUGCUACAAUGGUGGUGACAGUGGGCAGCGACACAGCGAUGUGGAGCGAAUCCCAAAAAGCCAUCUCAGUUCGGAUUGAAGGCUGCAACUCGCCUUCAUGAAGUCGGAAUCACUAGUAAUCGUGGAUCAGAACGCCACGGUGAAUACGUUCCCGGGUCUUGCACUCACCGCCCGUC
This 708-nucleotide ribosomal RNA is filed under the name uncultured bacterium. RNAcentral describes it as "bacterial SSU rRNA". It matches the Rfam family "Bacterial small subunit ribosomal RNA", at positions 690 to 1398 of the family's 1533-position model. The record is from RNAcentral.